CCUUUUAUUGAAAUAAUCCCCUGAUAAUAACAAUAAAUCUGGUAAGGCACUUUCAAAAAAUAGCCAAACCACACAUCAUAAAGAAAACCACCACAAUCAAAAUCGGUAACUAUCAGCUUUCAGGGGGUCUCAGGUUAUCAUGACGAUCGGGGUAAAGGAUGGACUACUAUUGCGGUCUGAAUUGAGGACGUUUUGAUAAAUUAUUUUGAUAACCGUUCGAAUACUAAUAAUAAAUAUCCUCCGGCAUAGCCGGAGGUUUUUCUGAUG
RNAcentral lists this small RNA (267 nucleotides) under Salmonella enterica subsp. enterica serovar Typhi. RNAcentral's name for it is "STnc150 Hfq binding RNA". It matches the Rfam family "STnc150 Hfq binding RNA". Lineage: Bacteria; Pseudomonadati; Pseudomonadota; Gammaproteobacteria; Enterobacterales; Enterobacteriaceae. The record is from Rfam by way of RNAcentral.